RNAcentral lists this ribosomal RNA (253 nucleotides) under uncultured bacterium. RNAcentral describes it as "partial 16S ribosomal RNA". It matches the Rfam family "Bacterial small subunit ribosomal RNA", at positions 524 to 776 of the family's 1533-position model. The record is from RNAcentral.
UACGUAGGGGGCUAGCGUUGUCCGGAAUCAUUGGGCGUAAAGCGCGUGUAGGCGGUUCGGUAAGUCCGCUGUGAAAGUCGGGGGCUCAACCCUCGGAUGCCGGUGGAUACUGUCGAGCUUGAGUACGGAAGAGGCGAGUGGAAUUCCUGGUGUAGCGGUGAAAUGCGCAGAUAUCAGGAAGAACACCCGGUGGCGAAGGCGGCUCUCUGGGACGGUACUGACGCUGAGACGCGAAAGCGUGGGAGCAAACAGG